CACUUUUCCUUCCCGUCUCUUCAUUACUCCAAUCUCAUCCCUUCCCCUUCUCUCGCCCAUUCGCCGACGUUCAGGAUCCAAGCAGCAGCCCCUGCAGCGAAGGUUGUUCUCGUGUGCUCAUGUGUUAUGUAUUCGUUCUUCGUUUGCCAUCGCCGCCGCAGCCCCGAUUCCAGUGGGACGCUCUGUUCUGGGCUUCCUCAUGCCGGCCGCAUCAGACGUGCCUGGUGCGGCCAUCGCCGUCGCAGCCCCGAUUCCAGUGGGACGCUCUACUCUGGGCUUGCUCACGCCAGCGGCAUCGGACGCGCCUGUUGCGGCACUCGUCUUGCGGCACUCGUCGCCGCAGCCCCGAUUACAGUGGGACGCUCUGCUCCGGACUUCCUCACGCCAGCGGCAUUGGAUGCGCCUGGUGCUGCCAUCCUUGCGCGGCCGAGUAUAGUUGUGCACAUGAGUUGCUUUGCUCUAUGUCAUUCUCUCACUUCUGACUUGGACAAUCUGGGGCAAAAGAAGCCGGUAGGCAAUCCCAUCCAGAUCAUCAUCUCGCUAAGGUACACAAGAUGAGUUCCUUCAUGACUUCUAUUACCACUGAUUCCCUUUUCUCAGAGAAACGGUAGCACUGGUGGCCUGCAUCAUUGUCAGGCGCAGACUCGCACAAGUACAGGGUUGUGAUUGACAAACACAUCAGGUUGCGAUCCUCAGCGUACGCCAACGUUUUCUGAUCGUGUGAUAGAUGUGUUGUUCACUAACAAAAAUGCUAGCAUCACCAAAUAAGAUUUUUUUGACGAAAAGCAGCCAGUGCUGAUUUCAUUUAGUAAGAGGAAGAGCCAAGAGUGGCAGUAGCAGUUACAGGUGUGUAAGCAAAAUAGAGAGAAAGGAAGGAAAGAAAGGAAGAGUCUAUGUAAUGUAAGCUAUUUUCUAAUCAGGUGACAUCCACAUUGCCCCAGCUAGGCCGGCGGUUCUCCAAGAGUUGAGCUCGUUACAAAUUUUCGUGAGUAGCACCGAGGUGUUGCAAGCCUUGUUUUUGAAAAUGCGAUUGUUCCGUUCCUUCCAUAUCUUCCACCAGGCACAAAUGAAUAAAGUGCAGAUCUUUGUGGCUGUGGCCGGUGCCCUGUUUUGGAUUGAUUUAAACCACCAGUCUUCGAGGUUUGGUUCAGUGCUGAUCGGCAGGUCCAUGGGAUCACCAAAUAAAAUCUCUCUCUUUCUUUUGAUGACACUUGACGUGGUUAAUUGCUUGAUUGUAUAUGAUUUAAAGGUAUAGACAGGAUAAAAUUUGGGCCUAUGUUGUCUUCCAAUCUCUGAAUCUUUCAUAUUUGUGUUAGAUUCGAUUGUUUUGAAAUUUUGAAUUGGAUGGGUUGACUAAUAAGGGAAGCAGCUUCACACACAUGCAAUGAAGGGAGCACGUGACAACCUACAAGCGAAAUCUGGGAGAAAAGUAACUUUUACAGGAUGCAGGGGUGGUGGUUAGUGGGCGGCGGUCGGUGGUGGCAGGUGGGCGACACAUCUCCGGGAGAAAUCCUUGCUUCGAUCUUCACCGGAGCCGACGACGGUGGCGCCCGCGGGUGCCGCUAUCUUUCUUGAAAGGGUCGUCGUGGAGGUGCUCCUUCUCUCCACGGCUUGGGCUCCGGAGGGAAACCUCAGAUCCGAUGGAUCGGGCGAUGGAGGCGUCUUCGCGUCUUUCUCCUCCUUGGGGGCAUCGUCUCGGAGCCGGCAACGACUGAGAGACUAGAGGAUGAUGGCAUCUUCGCCGUUGAUGGUGGCAUCUUCGUCGCGUGGUUUGCUGAAGCGGGGCGCUGGUUUCUGUUUGGCAACGACAAUGGCGUCGAGAAGAGCUUGGGUUGCGGCGUGGUCUUCGGUAGUCGGUUCUUCCUGGCGUGUCCGAGGUGCUCUUUUGGGCAUGGUCGGCGCAAGUCCUGCAUAUUUUCCUUGUGUCGCUCGUCGUCAAUGUCGGAGCUGUUGGUUGCUUGUGCGUGUGGCCAUCCAUUGGCAUGUGCCGUCAUGGCUUCUGUUCAUGCGGGUGGCCAGGUUGGCCGGUGAUGCCCAUGUCAUGUGGGUUUAUUGUAUCGGUUUUACCCGGUUUUCCGUCAAUUAACCGGGCAACUCUCUUCUUAAUCAAUGAAAAUGGCUUGAGUCUUCCGUCAA
Long non-coding RNA from Triticum dicoccoides, 2136 nucleotides. RefSeq lists it as uncharacterized. Lineage: Eukaryota; Viridiplantae; Streptophyta; Magnoliopsida; Poales; Poaceae. The record is from RefSeq and is a predicted model, not a curated record. The transcript is spliced from 2 exons.